GCCUCUAUAGCUCAGCUGGUAGAGCAACUGAUUUGUAAUCAGUGGGUCGGGAGUUCGAGUCUCUCUGGGGGCACCA
This 76-nucleotide transfer RNA is filed under the name Paracoccaceae bacterium. Its description in RNAcentral is "Rhodobacteraceae bacterium tRNA-Thr". It matches the Rfam family "tRNA". From Rfam's summary of the family: Transfer RNA (tRNA) molecules are approximately 80 nucleotides in length. Their secondary structure includes four short double-helical elements and three loops (D, anti-codon, and T loops). Lineage: Bacteria; Pseudomonadati; Pseudomonadota; Alphaproteobacteria; Rhodobacterales; Paracoccaceae. The record is from RNAcentral. RNAcentral also lists the same sequence under 3 other names.